ACGCUCGACACCUACGGGAGGUAGCAGUGGGGAAUAUUGCACAAUGGAGGAAACUCUGAUGCAGCGAUGCCGCGUGAGGGAAGAAGGUUUUCGGAUUGUAAACCUCUGUCUUUGGGGACGAUAAUGACGGUACCCAAGGAGGAAGCUCCGGCUAACUACGUGCCAACAGCCGCGGUAAUCUGAGCGGGCUGGCAAGGC
RNAcentral lists this ribosomal RNA (198 nucleotides) under uncultured bacterium. Its description in RNAcentral is "partial 16S ribosomal RNA". It matches the Rfam family "Bacterial small subunit ribosomal RNA", at positions 328 to 539 of the family's 1533-position model. The record is from RNAcentral.